This 27-nucleotide non-coding RNA is filed under the name Rattus norvegicus (Norway rat). Lineage: Eukaryota; Metazoa; Chordata; Mammalia; Rodentia; Muridae. The record is from RNAcentral.
UAGGUAUCUCAUUGUGUAUGGCCCAUA